UGGGGAAUAUUGGACAAUGGGCGCAAGCCUGAUCCAGCCAUGCCGCGUGAGUGAUGAAGGCCCUAGGGUUGUAAAGCUCUUUCACCGGUGAAGAUAAUGACGGUAACCGGAGAAGAAGCCCCGGCUAACUUCGUGCCAGCAGCCGCGGUAAUACGAAGGGGGCUAGCGUUGUUCGGAUUUACUGGGCGUAAAGCGCACGUAGGCGGACUAUUAAGUCAGGGGUGAAAUCCCGGGGCUCAACCCCGGAACUGCCUUUGAUACUGGUAGUCUUGAGUUCGAGAGAGGUGAGUGGAAUUCCGAGUGUAGAGGUGAAAUUCGUAGAUAUUCGGAGGAACACCAGUGGCGAAGGCGGCUCACUGCUCGAUACUGACGCUGAGGUGCGAAAGCGUGGGGAGCAAACAGG
This 403-nucleotide ribosomal RNA is filed under the name Actinomycetes bacterium. Its description in RNAcentral is "Actinobacteria bacterium partial 16S ribosomal RNA". It matches the Rfam family "Bacterial small subunit ribosomal RNA", at positions 355 to 776 of the family's 1533-position model. The record is from RNAcentral. Lineage: Bacteria; Bacillati; Actinomycetota; Actinomycetes.